AUUGAACGCUGGCGGCAUGCUUUACACAUGCAAGUCGAACGGUAACAGGCCGCAAGGUGCUGACGAGUGGCGAACGGGUGAGUAAUGCAUCGGAACGUGCCCAGUCGUGGGGGAUAACGCAGCGAAAGCUGUGCUAAUACCGCAUACGAUCUAUGGAUGAAAGCGGGGGACCGUAAGGCCUCGCGCGAUUGGAGCGGCCGAUGUCAGAUUAGGUAGUUGGUGGGGUAAAGGCUCACCAAGCCAACGAUCUGUAACUGGUCUGAGAGGACGACCAGCCGAACUGGGACUUGGAGCCGGCCCAACCGCCUACGGGGGGCAGGAGGGGGGAAUUUUGGGCAAUGGGCGCAAGCCUGAUCCAGCAAUGCCGCGUGCAGGAAGAAGGCCUUCGGGUUGUAAACUGCUUUUGUACGGAACGAAAAGGUUUGGGUUAAUACCCUGGGCCGAUGACGGUACCGUAAGAAUAAGCACCGGCUAACUACGUGCCAGCCGCCGCAGUAA
RNAcentral lists this ribosomal RNA (498 nucleotides) under uncultured bacterium. Its description in RNAcentral is "partial 16S ribosomal RNA". It matches the Rfam family "Bacterial small subunit ribosomal RNA", at positions 29 to 523 of the family's 1533-position model. The record is from RNAcentral.